ACUCCUACGGGAGGCAGCAGUGGGGAAUAUUGGACAAUGGGGGAAGCCCUGAUCCAGCCAUGCCGCGUGUGUGAAGAAGGCCUUAUGGUUGUAAAGCACUUUAAGCGAGGAGGAGGCUACUAGUAUUAAUACUACUGGAUAGUGGACGUUACUCGCAGAAUAAGCACCGGCUAACUCUGUGCCAGCAGCCGCGGUAAUACAGAGGGUGCGAGCGUUAAUCGGAUUUACUGGGCGUAAAGCGUGCGUAGGCGGCCAUUUAAGUCAAAUGUGAAAUCCCCGAGCUUAACUUGGGAAUUGCAUUCGAUACUGGAUGGCUAGAGUAUGGGAGAGGAUGGUAGAAUUCCAGGUGUAGCGGUGAAAUGCGUAGAGAUCUGGAGGAAUACCGAUGGCGAAGGCAGCCAUCUGGCCUAAUACUGACGCUGAGGUACGAAAGCAUGGGGAGCAAACAGGAUUAGAUACCCUGGUAGCUCGAUGU
This 475-nucleotide ribosomal RNA is filed under the name uncultured bacterium. Its description in RNAcentral is "bacterial SSU rRNA". It matches the Rfam family "Bacterial small subunit ribosomal RNA", at positions 335 to 800 of the family's 1533-position model. The record is from RNAcentral.